UAAUACUAUAAUAUAUUUUCCUAUAUAUACUAGAAAUAUGGUCUGGUGUCUCUACAGUUAACCCUAAAUUAAUUACUAUAGGUCUUAAUUUAUUUUUA
RNAcentral lists this non-coding RNA (98 nucleotides) under Glossina fuscipes. Its description in RNAcentral is "Guanine sequence". It matches the Rfam family "Purine riboswitch aptamer". From Rfam's summary of the family: Riboswitches are metabolite binding domains within certain messenger RNAs that serve as precision sensors for their corresponding targets. RNAcentral also lists the same sequence under 1 other name. Lineage: Eukaryota; Metazoa; Arthropoda; Insecta; Diptera; Glossinidae. The record is from RNAcentral.